UGCAUCAUCCAUAGAUUAUGUCUCUCUUGAUUACGGAGUGUACACUUUUUUCAGUUGAGCAAUCUCUUACCCCAAUCUAUAUGUCCCUACCUCAGUACCGAUCUUCCGCUGCCUGCCUUCGUUUUGCUUUUGCCCCCGAACAAGAUUCUUUGCUGUCUUGCCUGCCUUGCCUUACAAUCCCAUCAACCUUAUCUUAUAAAACAACCCCAUGUCCCUCAAAUAUCUAUCUCCCCACUUUUUUUCAAAAAAAAAAAAAAAUCUAUCUCCCCACUUGAUUUUUCAUUCUAGCUGUUCCAAGUUUUGGGCAGGAAAUUUUGGGUCAUUUGGCUCUGCCCUUCAGAUCAUUGUGCCCAGUCUUAAAAGAGUAUAAGUAUGUACGAGUGCUUCAAAGUGUGAGACGGUGCUUGCUGUUGUCGGUCGCCAGAAUAACCAAGACCUCUCAACCUCGACACCGUUUGGUCUCUUACUUCUCUUAUCCCAAGACGCUUGACGGGAGACCUGGCUAAGAUUAUUAACUGUAGGACCCAUAUGAAACUUGGUAAGAGAAACUAGACUGGUCUUCGUCUGAUCGGAAGCUGUCUAUACUGUCCAUCGUAUAUCUAAGGAACAACAACAAAAACUACAUUUGAAGUGUCUGUCUCUCAGAGAAUCAAAAAGCAACGGCCAAGACUCGGGUGAGAGGAAGGGGCCCUGACGGGGCAGUUUUUACCCGGGAUGGGUGCACAAUACGAUAUUUUACCCAAAUUGGUGCUUCUAUCAUAUGGAUGCCUUCAAAAAUAAAUUUAAGGCUCAAUAUCUCUUCUGGUCCCUGCACUAUAGCUAAAUCCUUACAUUAGUACGUAUACUAGUUUUUAUCAGUUUGGCCUCUGUAUUCUAUUUUGGUUGUCAGUUUAGUCCUUGUACUUUAUUUUGUA
This is a long non-coding RNA of Gossypium raimondii (Peruvian cotton), 914 nucleotides long. RefSeq lists it as uncharacterized. The transcript has 2 exons. The record is from RefSeq and is a predicted model, not a curated record. Lineage: Eukaryota; Viridiplantae; Streptophyta; Magnoliopsida; Malvales; Malvaceae.